RNAcentral lists this ribosomal RNA (404 nucleotides) under uncultured bacterium. RNAcentral's name for it is "bacterial SSU rRNA". It matches the Rfam family "Bacterial small subunit ribosomal RNA", at positions 28 to 430 of the family's 1533-position model. The record is from RNAcentral.
GACGAACGCUGGCGGCGUGCUUAACACAUGCAAGUCGAGCGGUAAGGCCCUUUCGGGGGUACGACGAGCGGCGAACGGGUGAGUAACACGUGGGUGACCUGCCCUCAGCUCUGGGAUAAGCCUGGGAAACCGGGUCUAAUACUGGAUAUGACUCCAUGACGCAUGUUGUGGGGUGGAAAGCCUUGUGCGGCUGAGGAUGGGCCCGCGGCCUAUCAGCUUGUUGGUGGGGUGANGGCCUACCAAGGCGACGACGGGUAGCCGGCCUGAGAGGGCGACCGGCCACACUGGGACGUGAGACACGGUCCGGACUCCUACGGGAGGCAGCAGUGGGGAAUAUUGGACAAUGGGCGAAAGCCUGAAUCCAGCGACGCCGCGUGGGUGAAGAAGGCCUGCGGGUUGUAAAG